RNAcentral lists this ribosomal RNA (320 nucleotides) under uncultured eukaryote. RNAcentral's name for it is "partial 18S ribosomal RNA". It matches the Rfam family "Eukaryotic small subunit ribosomal RNA", at positions 1470 to 1796 of the family's 1831-position model. The record is from RNAcentral.
CCCUUAGAUGUUCUGGGCCGCACGCGCGCUACACUGACGAAUGCAACGAGCUUAUAACCUUGGCCGAAAGGUCUGGGUAAUCUCCAAAUUUCGUCGUGAUGGGGAUAGAUUAUUGCAAUUAUUAAUCUUCAACGAGGAAUGCCUAGUAAGCGCAAGUCAUCAGCUUGCGUUGAUUACGUCCCUGCCCUUUGUACACACCGCCCGUCGCACCUACCGAUUGAAUGGUCCGGUGAAAUCUCGGGACGGCGGCUCGGUCGCUUGCGUCCGACUGCUGAAACUUGAUUAAACCAUAUCAUUUAGAGGAAGGUGAANUCGUAACA